AGAGUUUGAUCAUGGCUCAGAUUGAACGCUGGCGGCAGGCCUAACACAUGCAAGUCGAACGGUAACAGGAAGCAGCUUGCUGCUUCGCUGACGAGUGGCGGACGGGUGAGUAAUGUCUGGGAAACUGCCUGAUGGAGGGGAUAACUACUGGAAACGGUAGCUAAUACCGCAUAAUGUCGCAAGACCAAAGAGGGGGACCUUCGGGCCUCUUGCCAUCGGAUGUGCCCAGAUGGGAUUAGCUUGUUGGUGGGGUAACGGCUCACCAAGGCGACGAUCCCUAGCUGGUCUGAGAGGAUGACCAGCCACACUGGAACUGAGACACGGUCCAGACUCCUACGGGAGGCAGCAGUGGGGAAUAUUGCACAAUGGGCGCAAGCCUGAUGCAGCCAUGCCGCGUGUAUGAAGAAGGCCUUCGGGUUGUAAAGUACUUUCAGCGGGGAGGAAGGGAGUAAAGUUAAUACCUUUGCUCAUUGACGUUACCCGCAGAAGAAGCACCGGCUAACUCCGUGCCAGCAGCCGCGGUAAUACGGAGGGUGCAAGCGUUAAUCGGAAUUACUGGGCGUAAAGCGCACGCAGGCGGUUUGUUAAGUCAGAUGUGAAAUCCCGGGCUCAACCUGGGAACUGCAUCUGAUACUGGCAAGCUUGAGUCUCGUAGAGGGGGUAGAAUUCCAGGUGUAGCGGUGAAAUGCGUAGAGAUCUGGAGGAAUACCGGUGGCGAAGGCGGCCCCCUGGACGAAGACUGACGCUCAGGUGCGAAAGCGUGGGGAGCAAACAGGAUUAGAUACCCUGGUAGUCCACGCCGUAAACGAUGUCGACUUGGAGGUUGUGCCCUUGAGGCGUGGCUUCCGGAGCUAACGCGUUAAGUCGACCGCCUGGGGAGUACGGCCGCAAGGUUAAAACUCAAAUGAAUUGACGGGGCCCGCACAAGCGGUGGAGCAUGUGGUUUAAUUCGAUGCAACGCGAAGAACCUUACCUGGUCUUGACAUCCACGGAAGUUUUCAGAGAUGAGAAUGUGCCUUCGGGAACCGUGAGACAGGUGCUGCAUGGCUGUCGUCAGCUCGUGUUGUGAAAUGUUGGGUUAAGUCCCGCAACGAGCGCAACCCUUAUCCUUUGUUGCCAGCGGUCCGGCCGGGAACUCAAAGGAGACUGCCAGUGAUAAACUGGAGGAAGGUGGGGAUGACGUCAAGUCAUCAUGGCCCUUACGACCAGGGCUACACACGUGCUACAAUGGCGCAUACAAAGAGAAGCGACCUCGCGAGAGCAAGCGGACCUCAUAAAGUGCGUCGUAGUCCGGAUUGGAGUCUGCAACUCGACUCCAUGAAGUCGGAAUCGCUAGUAAUCGUGGAUCAGAAUGCCACGGUGAAUACGUUCCCGGGCCUUGUACACACCGCCCGUCACACCAUGGGAGUGGGUUGCAAAAGAAGUAGGUAGCUUAACCUUCGGGAGGGCGCUUACCACUUUGUGAUUCAUGACUGGGGUGAAGUCGUAACAAGGUAACCGUAGGGGAACCUGCGGUUG
Molecule: ribosomal RNA, 1518 nt
Filed under: Shigella dysenteriae
Lineage: Bacteria; Pseudomonadati; Pseudomonadota; Gammaproteobacteria; Enterobacterales; Enterobacteriaceae
Description: bacterial SSU rRNA
Rfam family: Bacterial small subunit ribosomal RNA
Source: RNAcentral